UACGUAGGAUGCGAGCGUUGUCCGGAAUUAUUGGGCGUAAAGAGAACGUAGGCGGUUUCCUAAGUUUGGUCUUAAAGACCGGGGCUCAACCCCGGGAAUGGAUCGAAAACUGGGAGACUGGAGGAUGUCAGAGGAAAGUGGAAUUCCGAGUGUAGCGGUGAAAUGCGUAGAUAUUCGGAGGAACACCAGUGGCGAAAGCGACUUUCUGGACCAGUACCGACGUUCAGGCACGAAAGCGUGGGGAGCAAACAGG
This 253-nucleotide ribosomal RNA is filed under the name uncultured bacterium. Its description in RNAcentral is "partial 16S ribosomal RNA". It matches the Rfam family "Bacterial small subunit ribosomal RNA", at positions 524 to 776 of the family's 1533-position model. The record is from RNAcentral.